UGGAUGGUGUCACACUGGCCCAGAGGAAGCACCUUUUUCUAAUUACAACAAAGGCACUACAUACCUUCUCAGUGGUCCUGAAUCUUACAAAACAGUGAAACCAAGUGAUGUGGAGACUACUUUAGAUGAGGUGGUCAGGGAAGGUCUUGGCACUGUGAUCCAAAUGAUGAAAUCAUCUAAAGGAAGAGUCUUUAGGGAAGAGAACACUCAACAGAACAGCUCUGAGACAGAAACAAACUUGGGAGAAAAGUGAGAAGCAUAAAGAGAAUAAAGAGGGAUGAUAAUAGACGAGAGAUGUCGCCAAAGUUAGAAGAGCAGAACUUGGACACUGUGCAUGAGAAAAAGGAAAAUUUGAAAGGCCACCAGUGAUGCCCCCUCCCUCAGUCACACCUUCAGACCCCAAGGUCUACGACGGUCUUCUGUCACUUGUCUCUUGGUCCCCCGCUUCCUUCUCAUCUGUGACCCCCUGCCUAGAGUACACAGACAGAAGCAUUGUGCAUCCCACGGUACCUGUCACGCUAUCUCCCAGAGCUCUAUUCUCACCUCCUGUCUCAUCACCCCAUUCAGACGGUUACUUGAAAACAGGAACCCUGUCUUUACUGAU
Suricata suricatta (meerkat) is the source of this 604-nucleotide long non-coding RNA. RefSeq lists it as uncharacterized. The transcript is spliced from 2 exons. The record is from RefSeq and is a predicted model, not a curated record. NCBI's taxonomy places the organism in Eukaryota, Metazoa, Chordata, Mammalia, Carnivora, Herpestidae.